UCCCUGCAAUACUAAUGGUCACAUC
RNAcentral lists this non-coding RNA (25 nucleotides) under Mus musculus (house mouse). The record is from RNAcentral. Lineage: Eukaryota; Metazoa; Chordata; Mammalia; Rodentia; Muridae.